UACAGAGGGGGCAAGCGUUGUUCGGAAUUACUGGGCGUAAAGGGCGCGUAGGCGGCCUGUUAAGUCGAACGUGAAAUCCCCGGGCUCAACCCGGGAACUGCGUCCGAUACUGGCAGGCUUGAAUCCGGGAGAGGGAUGCGGAAUUCCAGGUGUAGCGGUGAAAUGCGUAGAUAUCUGGAGGAACACCGGUGGCGAAGGCGGCAUCCUGGACCGGCAUUGACGCUGAGGCGCGAAAGCCAGGGAAGCAAACGGG
RNAcentral lists this ribosomal RNA (253 nucleotides) under uncultured bacterium. Its description in RNAcentral is "partial 16S ribosomal RNA". It matches the Rfam family "Bacterial small subunit ribosomal RNA", at positions 524 to 776 of the family's 1533-position model. The record is from RNAcentral.